ACGCAGCUGAUGAGUCCCGAAUAGGAGAAAACGCGCGUCCUAUAU
Molecule: non-coding RNA, 45 nt
Filed under: Schistosoma mansoni
Lineage: Eukaryota; Metazoa; Platyhelminthes; Trematoda; Strigeidida; Schistosomatidae
Source: RNAcentral